RNAcentral lists this long non-coding RNA (585 nucleotides) under Pogona vitticeps (central bearded dragon). RNAcentral's name for it is "lncRNA (ENSPVIG00000006924.1)". Lineage: Eukaryota; Metazoa; Chordata; Lepidosauria; Squamata; Agamidae. The record is from RNAcentral.
GUACAAGGCAUUUGUAUAUGUUCGAGUGCUUCUAAGGGGACACAUCAAAUGGCAGGGAAUUCUAGUGCCUAGGAUUAGAACUCCUAUGGUCUAUACAACGGUGCCUUUAACUUUAGACAUGAUUGUCUGUCUUUACCACCUAGGUUCUAUCAAUGACAUUGAGUGGAACAGUGAAGAGCUUGGUGUACAAAAGUCUGCAAUACGAAGAUCCUAUUCUAUCCCUGAGAUGGAAGACUGUGAAGAAAAUGAGAGCCCAUUGCUCAUACCAGAACUAGAUUUGAAAGAACCCAAGUUAGCGACAACGCCUGAAUCAGCAUUGACUCCAGCGAAAUGGUGUCCCGGUAGAUGCAAGGAGAAGUGUGCAGAAGGCGAGAGACGUGGACCAAGAGUGAUCUGCCAAGUUCAUACCUAUAUCUACUGUUGUAGAAAAGGAACAUGAGAGAAGACUGUAUGUAAGAGUGAACAUCCCAGGUGAAUACACACGGAGCGUGAAAAAUCUGCCAUUUCAAGCAGGACUCAAGAUGGUUGGGGAUUAAGAUCCGGAGAAGAAAUAAAACAAUCAAACAAUUAAAAUAUUUUUAUAGA